CAGCCGCCACGGGAAUACGGAGGGGGCUAGCGUUGUUCGGAAUUACUGGGCGUAAAGCGCACGUAGGCGGCUUGGUAAGUUAGAGGUGAAAGCCCGGAGCUCAACUCCGGAAUUGCCUUUAAGACUGCCGAGCUAGUAGGUGAGAGAGGUAAGUGGAAUUCCGAGUGUAGAGGUGAAAUUCGUAGAUAUUCGGAAGAACACCAGUGGCGAAGGCGGCUUACUGGCUCAUUCUAGACGCUGAGGUGCGAAAGCGUGGGGAGCAAACAGGAUUAGAUACCCCGGUAGUCCCUGUCUCUUAUAC
Molecule: ribosomal RNA, 301 nt
Filed under: uncultured bacterium
Lineage: Bacteria
Description: partial 16S ribosomal RNA
Rfam family: Bacterial small subunit ribosomal RNA
Source: RNAcentral